GCUGCAAUAGCUCUAGUGGUAGAGUGUUGAACUCAUAAUCCAAGGGUCACAGGUUCGAUAUCUGCUGUACAGGCCA
Molecule: non-coding RNA, 76 nt
Organism: Potamilus streckersoni
Lineage: Eukaryota; Metazoa; Mollusca; Bivalvia; Unionida; Unionidae
Source: the annotation of a GenBank genome assembly